UAAUAAAAAAAAUAAAAAGAAAUAAAUUGGGUCUGAACCCUUCUUUCUCUUUCAUAAAAAAACCCUAAUAAUAUUCUCGCCUCUUCCUCUGCCUCUCUUCCUCUCGCCUCUGCAAUCUCUUCCUCUCGCCUCUUCUUCCUUUCUCUUGGCAGAUGUUGCUGCCCAGCUUCCUCUGGCGACAAGCGCCUGAGACUUUGCGGAUUUAGGGCGUAGAGGAUGGAUUACAGGCACAAAUAAUGGUUACAGCAUAUAAUUUAAUUGGAAAAAGUUGUGAGCUCCUCCUUUGUAAUACAAAUCCAAUGGUACCUUCCAUAAUGGAAAGAGGAGCGCCUUUUUGUGACCAAAUUUUUUAAACAAUUUAUGGAUGUUUAAUGUAUUUUUUGUAACAAUCAAGUAUUCUCCUCAAACUCCAUUCUUUUUCCUAGCUCCUGGAUUCGUUGGGGGAUGGUGGAGUCCAUAUUUGUUCACAGCUACAAUAGCCUCAACAAAAUAUUUCUUUAAUCAUGUUUUAAGGAAAAAUACUUUAACAAAAGCUUGCAGAAACAUCUCUCGCCAUUAUGAUCGAUAGCUUCUCCUUUGUCCAAUCGCUCAAGGAGGACUAUGUUUGAAGGUCGUCGUGGAUCUCGCUAUUCAAAGUCGUCUGUGGUUUACGGUGGCAGAGUUCAUUGAUCUCGUCAUUCGAAUGCUGACAGCUCUAGGUUCUUGGUCUAAGGUGGCGGGUUUCGUGGAUCUCAACAUUCGAACGCCGGUGAUUUUAGGCUCAUCGUCUAUGGUGGCUGUAGGGUUCUGCUUGUAAUUUCUUUUUUCAAAUUUCAAUUUUAUUUCUGGAUGUGUUCAUAGCUAUUUUUUACUUUGUUUUUAAUUAUCCUAAAUUUUUAGUGUUGUAUUGAACAAUACUUGUUAUAUUGAUUUAAAAUAAUAUUUUUUUUGUUCAA
This is a long non-coding RNA of Cannabis sativa, 935 nucleotides long. RefSeq lists it as uncharacterized. The record is from RefSeq and is a predicted model, not a curated record. The transcript has 4 exons. Lineage: Eukaryota; Viridiplantae; Streptophyta; Magnoliopsida; Rosales; Cannabaceae.